This 472-nucleotide long non-coding RNA is filed under the name Mus musculus (house mouse). Its description in RNAcentral is "long non-coding RNA chr4:59549153-59549625". The record is from RNAcentral. Lineage: Eukaryota; Metazoa; Chordata; Mammalia; Rodentia; Muridae.
AUGGCCCAGAUGGAGGAGCGCGUUGUGCGGGGAUUGACGGGCUCACCGCGGGCGGAGAAAGCGGGCGGCGGCUCCGGGAAACCAGCGAGCGGAGCCGCUCCGCAGCUCCGGCCGGUCAGAGGUGGAAGGAAGAGUGGGAAACAGGGGCGGGGACCGGGCACGCUCUCGCCAGCGCCGCGCCCCCGCCCUCCCGGCCCGCGAGCGCGUUCCCGCCUCGCCUGGCCCCGCCCCCUCGGCGUCGACGCCCUCCCGGGGCUCGGCUGGACUCCAGGGCGCCCUCUUCCCGCCUUCGCCUCUUUGCCCCGCCCCGACACCACCACCCCCGCCCAUGCCUCCGCGCGCGUGCGCGCCCCCCGCCCAGCGUCGCGCCUGCGUUCGCGGGAACGCGCGCCUUGUGCUUCCCGCUUCGCGACUCGCCCUCCUACAAGCCCGCGGGCCUUCCGGCUCCCGGGACUCAGGCUUAGGGCCCUGA